AGUGAACGCUGGCGGUAGGCCUAACACAUGCAAGUCGAACGGCAGCACAGGAGAGCUUGCUUUCUGGGUGGCGAGUGGCGGACGGGUGAGGACUACAUCGGAAUCUACAUUUUCGUGGGGGAGAACGUAGGGAUACUUACGCUAAUACCGCCUAUGACCUACGGCGGAAAGCAGGGGAUCUUCGGACUUUGCGCGAUUGAAUGCGACGAUGUCGGAUUAGCUAGUUGGCGGGGUAAAGGCCCACCAAGGCGACGAUCCGUAGCUGGUCUGAGAGGAUGAUCAGCCACACUGGAACUGAGACACGGUCCAGACUCCUACGGGAGGCAGCAGUGGGGAAUAUUGGACAAGGGGCGCAAGCCUGAUCCAGCUAUACCGCGUGGGUGAAGAAGGCCUUCGGGUUGUAAAGCCCUUUUGUUGGGAAAGAAAUCCAGCUGGUUAAUACCCGGUUGGGAUGACGGUACCAAAAGAAUAAGCACCGGCUAACUUCGUGCCAGCCGCCGCCGUAA
RNAcentral lists this ribosomal RNA (506 nucleotides) under uncultured bacterium. Its description in RNAcentral is "partial 16S ribosomal RNA". It matches the Rfam family "Bacterial small subunit ribosomal RNA", at positions 29 to 523 of the family's 1533-position model. The record is from RNAcentral.